This is a long non-coding RNA of Cydia fagiglandana, 573 nucleotides long. RefSeq lists it as uncharacterized. The record is from RefSeq and is a predicted model, not a curated record. Lineage: Eukaryota; Metazoa; Arthropoda; Insecta; Lepidoptera; Tortricidae. The transcript is spliced from 3 exons.
AAAUAGCAGUCACGAUGGUGGAAAAAGUCCUCCUAGCGUUACUGGUGGCGUGCAGCUCAAAUUUCGCGUCUACACACAUAGUGACGUCAGCACAUUCGGACCUCGCGUUCCUCAGCUGCGUGAGCUCGUUGUCUCACACCGUACAGACCACUCUAUGUCCUUUGUACGGGCAAAUCGGGGAGUAUCCUAUGGAAUACAUGCACCCCGCAUUGGACCCUCGCGAGGCGGAGACCAGAAACUGGGAGUUCCGAAACAACAUGAAGAGAUGCUGUACGAGACCCUGCAGCAUAUCCGAGCUGGUCGCAGUGUGUUAGACGAAUUAGAUGAGGUACUGAGAUAACGUAUGACGCGUAUAUCAGGAUUUGGAAAGAGUGACCGGAUCGCGGGCUUGUCGUAUGCGACGCAGUUACCUUUGUACCUUCGAUUUAUUCAGUGCAGCGCAGUGUAUUCAAUAAAUAUAGUUUAUUAUUUGUAGUUGCGAUCACUCAUUUAUUUUUGUAAAUGUAUAAUGUUAUUCCUUCGAAGCGUGACCCUUUCCGUAUGAAAACAAGAAUAAAAUAAUCCCUAUUUUUC